This 296-nucleotide long non-coding RNA is filed under the name Bos taurus (domestic cattle). RNAcentral describes it as "long non-coding RNA NONBTAT020201". The record is from RNAcentral. Lineage: Eukaryota; Metazoa; Chordata; Mammalia; Artiodactyla; Bovidae.
UAGUCCUUUGCCUGAUUGCUUUUGCUGAGUAUUAUUUGAUAAAAUUACUAUCGAUGGACUAUUCACUACCACGGUGCCCUAGCUAGUUAUGACUUUUAAUUUUUCUCCAAGUGGCAUACAUCUAGGACAUCCCUUGGACUUGCCGAAGAGGAAGGCUGUUAUUUUGCUAUUCUUUCUGAGUGCUUUGAGCAAGCAAGGUCUCUUUUCAUUCUGACCUACCAUUGUUGGGAAUAGCCCCAGAAACUAUGGAUAGGAGUUUAUAUCCUGGUUAAGAAGUAUCUGGGGAUACACAUUUA